Long non-coding RNA from Oxyura jamaicensis (ruddy duck), 607 nucleotides. RefSeq lists it as uncharacterized. The record is from RefSeq and is a predicted model, not a curated record. NCBI's taxonomy places the organism in Eukaryota, Metazoa, Chordata, Aves, Anseriformes, Anatidae. The transcript has 3 exons.
GGACCUCCUGACAGAAGAUGCCAGACAUCAAAAGAGAAGAAUCAAAAUAAGAAAAAUUGGAGAACAGUGACCUUCCACUUUGGGGAAAGAAUUAAGAGCAUCACUGCACAGUGCUUGGAAAUUGCCGUAAAAAUCAAGCUGUCAGAAGAAUGGCAGAAGAACAGAACACAUGGAAGACAGAAGCAAUUAAAAUUAGACAACUGAAUGACCACACAAACUGAAAACACUGAAGAAAAUGGAAUGACUAGACCAGCAAGUUUUUCAUUCACCACAGCACAGAAACCACUAUCCAUGUUGAAUUGUCAGAAUCAUCACUCUGCUCUCAAGAAUUCCUGCUCUCAAGGGACUGAGGCUCACUAUUUACUGUAACGAGAGGAAGAUGCGUAGUGUGGGAAGAUUUCCCAUACGAUGGGAACUGUGAAUCAAGGUGAGCCAAUUAUUUUAAAAUACUAAAUGGGAAGCUUUCUUUUUAGUGAUUUUAAUUUUUUUAUUAUAUGGGAAGGUUAAUGAUAUAUACCAUUAUUGAGGGAAAACAACUAAUAGACAAUGUUCCUAGAUUUCUUAUGGGAAUCUGAUGUGAAGAAUGAGACAGAAGAAAGUCAUUUUA